Wasmannia auropunctata (little fire ant) is the source of this 1026-nucleotide long non-coding RNA. RefSeq lists it as uncharacterized. The transcript is spliced from 3 exons. The record is from RefSeq and is a predicted model, not a curated record. Lineage: Eukaryota; Metazoa; Arthropoda; Insecta; Hymenoptera; Formicidae.
GAUUCGGCGAGAUGGACGUCUCGUGUGUUACAGCUCGAGUAUUCGAGACAAUCGAAGAUCGGAAAACAAUCAGCGGACGAUAGCCCUGAUGAUUCAGGAAACGUCCGCCCCGAAGCAACUUUUUCGCCGUUUUCGCCACAGCCGCCAUUCCCCUGUCCCGUCUAUUUUCAGGAGUUUAUCGAAGCAAGACAUCUCGCAAUGCUCAGAAAUAUAUGACAACCUACACCGAGCGACAUGCAUAAUCGACCUUGUGCAGUAAAACUGUAAAAGGAACAUUUCAAGUGUAUAAAAUCAGGUAGACACUGGCGUUUAAUCCGGGAUGGGUCGGAUGGAAUGGCGAGUGAUCAAUCUAGGCGUGUUCAACACGCGACGCGACAUUGCCAAUCAGGCAUUGAAGUCUCCUCUUUUCUCGCGACGUCGCGACGCGCGACCAGUAACGGUGGCUGAUGUACGACAACAAACGGUGCGCGUGAGGGAAGGAGAACGAGUUUUAGCCGACUUGGAAAAGCGGUGGAAGCGAGAUGGAGCGCUUCCUCCUCUUGAUAGCGAGUCGAUUCGAACCGGUCGCACCGCCAUUUUCUCCAAGUUUUUGCCGGCGCGGUCAACGGUUCGCACGGCACGAACUCGCGGCCAACCAGGUCACUCCUCAUUCUUCUCAAGUUUGUCGUAAGCCCAGCCGGUGACGUCGCAACGACGCGACGAAGAAAUGUUACAACGCAAGUUUCAACUGGCCGAACGUUCCGGUAUGCGACUUGAUGCACCGCGGCGGGAAUUCACCCGAGUGUUCCAUGGCGAUAGGAAUUCGUUAAUCAAACGAGGUGACCAGACCAUUCGAUUAACGGACAACUUAUAUUAUUAGCUCGCGAAGAAAGGCGGCGAAAUACUACACAGAAACGACGAUUAUCAUCGUUUGUUUGCGCUUAUCAAAUAAUAUUUUGCGUAAAAUGUGACUGCAGCAAAAUCAAAUGCCUAUAUCUAUAGAAAUGCCUGUCUAAAAAUAAAACAUCCGUCCCCCACCCCCCACCC